This 496-nucleotide small RNA is filed under the name Histoplasma capsulatum var. duboisii H88. RNAcentral describes it as "Histoplasma capsulatum H88 hypothetical RNA". Lineage: Eukaryota; Fungi; Ascomycota; Eurotiomycetes; Onygenales; Ajellomycetaceae. The record is from RNAcentral.
CAAAUCAGUGUGUGGCAGGUUAGCACUCAUUAGUAAUUUAGCUGAUACAAUCAACCUUCUAUCUCCCACUCACAUACUCUCCCACUUUUAUGAAAGUCCUGCUUCUCAUAAUUCUACUUCACAAUUAUACAAUCACUAAUAUUUUUCUGCUCUAUACUUUACUAUAUUACUAGGGGCAGCUUGCCCUUAUCACCCCCCUUCCGGGGGUGGGCAAACGACCACCUAAAUCCCAGGGGAUGAAGCCAUCUUCAAUUCCUUUAAUGGAUUUGAAAGCUUAGGUAUAACACUCUAGAGCAGGAGCUUCAUGGAACAUGCAGCUGGGGCAGGACGGAGCAGAAAGCCAUGCUCUUAGAUAUUACAUAUGUCAUCGAUAAAUAUAAUUGCCACAUAUAUAUCAUCGCUAGAUAUCAUUGAUAUAUCAUUGCUAGAUAUCAUGGCGGAUCUCGUUAGCAGAUCUCAUCAAUAGAUAUCAUGAAUGGAUAUCAUUCAUUCAGGC